Molecule: ribosomal RNA, 582 nt
Filed under: uncultured bacterium
Lineage: Bacteria
Description: partial 16S ribosomal RNA
Rfam family: Bacterial small subunit ribosomal RNA
Source: RNAcentral
UGGGGAAUUUUGGACAAUGGGCGAAAGCCUGAUCCAGCAAUGCCGCGUGUGUGAAGAAGGCCUUCGGGUUGUAAAGCACUUUUGUCCGGAAAGAAAUCCUUGGCUCUAAUACAGUCGGGGGAUGACGGUACCGGAAGAAUAAGCACCGGCUAACUACGUGCCAGCAGCCGCGGUAAUACGUAGGGUGCAAGCGUUAAUCGGAAUUACUGGGCGUAAAGCGUGCGCAGGCGGUUUGCUAAGGCCGAUGUGAAAUCCCCGGGCUCAACCUGGGAACUGCAUUGGUGACUGGCAGGCUAGAGUAUGGCAGAGGGGGGUAGAAUUCCACGUGUAGCAGUGAAAUGCGUAGAGAUGUGGAGGAAUACCGAUGGCGAAGGCAGCCCCCUGGGCCAAUACUGACGCUCAUGCACGAAAGCGUGGGGAGCAAACAGGAUUAGAUACCCUGGUAGUCCACGCCCUAAACGAUGUCAACUAGUUGUUGGGGAUUCAUUUCCUUAGUAACGUAGCUAACGCGUGAAGUUGACCGCCUGGGGAGUACGGUCGCAAGAUUAAAACUCAAAUGAAUUGACGGGGUCAUAGCUGUUU